This 318-nucleotide ribosomal RNA is filed under the name uncultured Chloroflexota bacterium. Its description in RNAcentral is "bacterial SSU rRNA". It matches the Rfam family "Bacterial small subunit ribosomal RNA", at positions 28 to 351 of the family's 1533-position model. The record is from RNAcentral. Lineage: Bacteria; Bacillati; Chloroflexota.
GAUAAACGCUAGCGGCGUGCCUUAUGCAUGCAAGUCGAACGGGGUGCCGCAAGGCACCAAGUGGCAAACGGGUGAGUAAUACGUAAGUAACCUACCCCUAAGUGGGGGGAUACCCCUGGGAAACUAGGGCUAAUACCGCGUGUGGUCUUUCUUCACAAGAGGGGAGACUAAAGCCGUAAGGCGCUUGGGGGACGGGCUUGCGUCCGAUUAGCUAGUUGGUAGGGUAAUAGCCUACCAAGGCGAAGAUCGGUAGCUGAUCUGAGAGGAUGACCAGCCACACUGGGACUGAGACACGGCCCAGACUCCUACGGGAGGCAG